GAUGAACGCUGGCGGCGUGCCUAAUACAUGCAAGUCGAGCGAACAGACGCGGAGCUUGCUCCUCUGACGUUAGCGGCGGACGGGUGAGUAACACGUGGAUAACCUACCUAUAAGACUGGGAUAACUUCGGGAAACCGGAGCUAAUACCGGAUAAUAUAUUGAACCGCAUGGUUCAAUAGUGAAAUACGGUUUUGCUGUCACUUAUAGAUGGAUCCGCGCCGCAUUAGCUAGUUGGUAAGGUAACGGCUUACCAAGGCAACGAUGCGUAGCCGACCUGAGAGGGUGAUCGGCCACACUGGAACUGAGACACGGUCCAGACUCCUACGGGAGGCAGCAGUAGGGAAUCUUCCGCAAUGGGCGAAAGCCUGACGGAGCAACGCCGCGUGAGUGAUGAAGGUCUUCGGAUCGUAAAACUCUGUUAUUAGGGAAGAACAAAUGUGUAAGUAACUAUGCACGUCUUGACGGUACCUAAUCAGAAAGCCACGGCUAACUACGUG
This 497-nucleotide ribosomal RNA is filed under the name uncultured bacterium. RNAcentral describes it as "partial 16S ribosomal RNA". It matches the Rfam family "Bacterial small subunit ribosomal RNA", at positions 28 to 507 of the family's 1533-position model. The record is from RNAcentral.